CCCAACCCAACACUUUCCCUUCUACUUCGUUUCCCUUGGCUCCACCAUUAAUCUCUUUAACUAACUAAUUAGUUUCAAGCCUUCUCAAACACAACACUGGAGCUCAAGGUAAUGGAUUUGAUAAUGUGAAUGUGGUGGUGGGUAUUGUGUUUAGUUGGAUAUUAAUUUAUUUUGUUGGAUUUGUUAAAUCUGUUUGUAAAUGCUUGAUUUACAAGGUAAUUUGAGAUCUUAGAUGUGAGUUACAUAUCUAUUUGUUGAUUUUUAUUUGAUUUUAUUUAUGAUGGCUCUAACUUCUCAACUGUUGCUUCAAGUUCAGUACAUUUAUUCAAUAAAUUAAACAUUGAUUUCUAGGACACAAUGGAUUAUCUAGGUACUUUCUCUCCAUUCUCGGAGAAAUUACAUGUAUUCAUUGGGUAUGAAUUACAUGUAUUCUCGGAGAAAUUACAUGUACUUUCUCUCCAUUAUUUAUUGCCUAAUUUUAUUUCAUUGUUUUUUUUAGUUAUUAUCAUUAUUAAAAGCAAUAUUUUAAUGAACCAUUAUAUGCAAUUAAAACAAAAACAUUGCUUUAUACAAUUUUUUCUUUUGGUUUGUUUUUAUUUACUUUUACUUACCAUUUUUUAGCAAUGGGAGCAAUAUUUUCAGCCAAGGAUUUGUUUGCAUCUUGCAGGUAUAAGUACUUUCAAGGCUUUCUUUCUAUUUUAUAUAUAAAAAAUAGAUAAAAACAAACAUAAUAUACUUUGCAGAGUUUUAUAAUUGAUGAGUUUUGCAAAUGUGUCCAUUGCUAUAUGCCUAUUUGUUUCUUAUGCAUUUGUAUUUACAAGAUCUAAAUUAAAUUCAUUGGCCUUUUAAAUUACUCUCUCUCUCUCUCUCUCUCUCUCUCUCUCUCUCUCUCUCUCUCUCUCUCUCUCUCUCUCUCUCCAAAUUGCAUGUUUAGGGUCCAUUCCUCAACAUUGCUCCCAAUAAAGCAAAUUGGCAUCUUUGAAGGGAUGUGUAAGAGAAGCUUCAUAAAGCUUUGAAGGCGCACUCAUAAGGCAAUUUAUAAACUUAUGGCAAGGAUUCUCAUAUUGAUUAUAAUGCUGGGACAAAACUUUCUUAGCAUUGAUUUGUAAUUGGAGGUGAGAGUAGAGAUAGAGCAGUUGAGUGAGAUUCCUACAGCUGCACCUUGAAGACUGCUUGUGACUAGCCUCGGGUAUAUUAUAGGUAUACCCUUGUAUAUUAGAUUUUGAAUAUGCAUGUAAAUAUAUGUGUGUAAAUUAUUUGAGCAGAUGUAUAAAACUUUUGAAAUGUUAUUUUGGGUGUGUAAUGGAAAUGCAAAUUUAAUUGUAACAAUAAUUUUAGUACCUUAAUGAAUGUAUUAUUUACUUUCUUCUGGAAAUUGAAAAAUUAUGGACGAUUUCUUUUAUGAUGAGUUUGGCUUGAUAAGUGAAUUGAAUUGAUUGUGAUGA
This is a long non-coding RNA of Hevea brasiliensis (rubber tree), 1445 nucleotides long. RefSeq lists it as uncharacterized. The transcript has 3 exons. The record is from RefSeq and is a predicted model, not a curated record. NCBI's taxonomy places the organism in Eukaryota, Viridiplantae, Streptophyta, Magnoliopsida, Malpighiales, Euphorbiaceae.